RNAcentral lists this ribosomal RNA (253 nucleotides) under uncultured bacterium. RNAcentral's name for it is "partial 16S ribosomal RNA". It matches the Rfam family "Bacterial small subunit ribosomal RNA", at positions 524 to 776 of the family's 1533-position model. The record is from RNAcentral.
UACGGAGGAUCCGAGCGUUAUCCGGAUUUAUUGGGCUUAAAGGGUGCGUAGGCGGCCUAUUAAGUCAGGGGUGAAAGACGGUAGCUUAACUAUCGCAGUGCCUUUGAUACUGAUGGGCUUGAAUAUACUUGAGGUAGGCGGAAUGUGACAAGUAGCGGUGAAAUGCAUAGAUAUGUCACAGAACACCAAUUGCGAAGGCAGCUUACUAAGGUAUGAUUGACGCUGAGGCACGAAAGCGUGGGGAUCAAACAGG